This 610-nucleotide ribosomal RNA is filed under the name uncultured bacterium. Its description in RNAcentral is "bacterial SSU rRNA". It matches the Rfam family "Bacterial small subunit ribosomal RNA", at positions 169 to 756 of the family's 1533-position model. The record is from RNAcentral.
CCGGAUAUGACUGUCUGCCGCAUGGUGGGUGGUGGAAAGUUCUUGGGCUUUGGUCUGGGUUCGGCUGGGGAUGGGCCUGCGGCCUAUCAGCUUGUUGGUGGGGUGAUGGCCUACCAAGGCGACGACGGGUAGCCGGCCUGAGAGGGCGACCGGCCACACUGGGACUGAGACACGGCCCAGACUCCUACGGGAGGCAGCAGUGGGGAAUAUUGCGCAAUGGGCGGAAGCCUGACGCAGCGACGCCGCGUGGGGGAUGACGGCCUUCGGGUUGUAAACCUCUUUCGCCAUCGACGAAGGUUCUGUGGUUGUGAGGCUGCAGGGUUGACGGUAGGUGGAGAAGAAGCGCCGGCCAACUACGUGCCAGCAGCCGCGGUAAUACGUAGGGUGCGAGCGUUGUCCGGAAUUAUUGGGCGUAAAGAGCUCGUAGGCGGUGUGUCGCGUCGGCCGUGAAAACCUGCAGCUUAACUGUGGGCGUGCGGUCGAUACGGGCAUCACUGGAGUUCGGCAGGGGAGACUGGAAUUCCUGGUGUAGCGGUGAAAUGCGCAGAUAUCAGGAGGAACACCGGUGGCGAAGGCGGGUCUCUGGGCCGAUACUGACGCUGAGGAGCGA